ACCCUAUUUUUUCAAAUCAAAUUUAUUAGUUUUUUUUACAUUUGGUGAAAAAUUAAAUAAACUUUCAAUUGGCUUGAUAAAAGGGCCCCUUUUCUGAUUAUAGCCUCAAAGCACGUUUUUACUUUGCCAAUCUAUUAGUCCAGCACCAAAAUUGCAGAGCUACCGCACUAUAGCUAUAGAAAUACUUCCAGUAUAGACAAAAAUUUCCAAUUCAUCAACACAAAAAAGUAGAAGAAAGGGAACUUUAUUUUGUCCUUUUUUUUGUUGUUGUAUUAUUUUGUGUUUUCAUUCCUUUGGCACGAGUUCGGCAUACUGAUGAUUGGAAACGAAAAAACUGGAGCUGGAGUUGAUUGGGCGACGACGACGAUGUUGGUUGCAGCGACAAGGGUGGUAGGAUGCAGUCGAUAUAGAAAGUACCCAACCCAGUUUUCUUUCAUUUUUACUGCACAGCAGUAGCGUAACAUCAUUCUUUCCUCCUGCUUUCCCCUUGGUUCUGGUUCAACAUUGAACGUGCAGAUUUUUAAUCAACUUCCAUCAGAACUGCAUUUGAUAUAGAAAAAGAUGAGAGGCGAGUUGCAUCCUAAAAUACAAAAAAAAAAAACA
Episyrphus balteatus (marmalade hoverfly) is the source of this 603-nucleotide long non-coding RNA. RefSeq lists it as uncharacterized. The transcript is spliced from 2 exons. The record is from RefSeq and is a predicted model, not a curated record. Lineage: Eukaryota; Metazoa; Arthropoda; Insecta; Diptera; Syrphidae.